RNAcentral lists this ribosomal RNA (440 nucleotides) under uncultured bacterium. RNAcentral describes it as "partial 16S ribosomal RNA". It matches the Rfam family "Bacterial small subunit ribosomal RNA", at positions 338 to 795 of the family's 1533-position model. The record is from RNAcentral.
CCUACGGGAGGCAGCAGUGAGGGAUAUUGGUCAAUGGGGGAAACCCUGAACCAGCAACGCCGCGUGAGGGAAGACGGUUUUCGGAUUGUAAACCUCUGUCCUCUGUGAAGAUAAUGACGGUAGCAGAGGAGGAAGCUCCGGCUAACUACGUGCCAGCAGCCGCGGUAAUACGUAGGGAGCAAGCGUUGUCCGGAUUUACUGGGUGUAAAGGGUGCGUAGGCGGCCCUGCAAGUCAGAAGUGAAAUCCAUGGGCUUAACCCGUGAACUGCUUUUGAAACUGUAGGGCUUGAGUGAAGUAGAGGCAGGCGGAAUUCCCGGUGUAGCGGUGAAAUGCGUAGAGAUCGGGAGGAACACCAGUGGCGAAGGCGGCCUACUGGGCUUUAACUGACGCUGAAGCACGAAAGCGUGGGUAGCAAACAGGAUUAGAGACCCUGGUAGUC